GGGGAAUUUUGGACAAUGGACGCAAGUCUGAUCCAGCAAUGCCGCGUGCAGGACGAAGGCCUUCGGGUUGUAAACUGCUUUUGUACAGAACGAAAAGGCUCUGGUUAAUACCUGGGGCUCAUGACGGUACUGUAAGAAUAAGCACCGGCUAACUACGUGCCAGCAGCCGCGGUAAUACGUAGGGUGCGAGCGUUAAUCGGAAUUACUGGGCGUAAAGCGUGCGCAGGCGGUUUUGUAAGACCGAUGUGAAAUCCCCGGGCUCAACCUGGGAACUGCAUUGGUGACUGCAAGGCUGGAGUGCGGCAGAGGGGGAUGGAAUUCCGCGUGUAGCAGUGAAAUGCGUAGAUAUGCGGAGGAACACCGAUGGCGAAGGCAAUCCCCUGGGCCUGCACUGACGCUCAUGCACGAAAGCGUGGGGAGCAAAC
RNAcentral lists this ribosomal RNA (425 nucleotides) under uncultured bacterium. RNAcentral's name for it is "bacterial SSU rRNA". It matches the Rfam family "Bacterial small subunit ribosomal RNA", at positions 356 to 773 of the family's 1533-position model. The record is from RNAcentral.